AGUAUCCGCCGGGCACUGGGUGCGUACGAUUCACGGUAGAAAACCACAGAGCCCAGUCUCUGACAAGGGAUAGAGAUGUCAACUGUUUUGGUCGCGUCAACGCGCACGCCCUUCAGAGACGCGUACGGGUUUAACACACUGGUGCGAGGGGAAUCGCCUGGAAAUUUUCACUUUUCCCGCUGCUCUCCUUUCGGCACCGCGGGCUGCGGUGCUUUAAUUCUGACAGUGAAAGAAACACGUCUGUUUUUAAAGGAGGCAAAACUGCAAAAAAAUCUGGGAACAGGUUAGGAACAGCGGAGCGACCCGCUAGCUGGCUACGCUUCGUGUGUGUGUCCGGCCCGGGUCUGCCCCCCAGGUACACACCUGCGCCUCUCGUCCACUGGCCGGGAGAGAAAGUAUGUCCGCCACAUGUUUUGUGGCUUCACCCAAACGGAAGAGGUCAAAAAACUUGUGUCCAUCCCUCCGCGGGUCCGGGUCUGUUGUGUCUUCAGCGCUCCGGGGUGUUGUUUGGAUUGGCAUCCGGGACAGGAACGAUUAAGACGCCAGAUGAUAUGAUACGAUUUUUAUUUUUUUAGAAACAACACCUUAGUGGACACAGGAAAUAAUGCUCUCCCCUAAACCGAGCAGCGUUAUUUGUGUAUUUUUACAAAAAGUCGGGGGAAGAGUUUUGCACGCCAAUGCACGCUUAAGGACGGGGGAGACGGGAAAGGAGAGAAGACAGCGGCCGCCCCCCCUUCUCUCUCUCUCCCUCCUCAACGUCCACCGACACCACUACAACAACAACGAAAAGUCUGUCAACUCCACUCCGGCAGGAAAAAAAAACUUCGACAAAGCGAGGGAGACUCCCAGCGCUCCGAGGACCCUGCAGCAGAGGACGAGUUUUGGACGAGAGCAAGAAGGGGCGAAAGACCCUAAAGAAAAGGGAGAGUUAGCGGGGUGCCCGAGUUCCUCCGUCUCCUGCCGCCCUGAACCAUGUGCUUCGAAGGGCUGAUUCUAUGGAUGCCAGAGACCAGCUCUUUAUGAAGAUGAAAAGGUAGGACUGCCCAGUCACCUCUGGGAUGGCCUUAACACGCCAAAGGCGUAGCAGUUUGAUCUGUGCCAGGCUGCGUCAGAGCUGCUGGGUUUGGUUUAAAAAUGCACUCAGCUCUGCCAGUUUCACACAGAGGACCCGAGAUGUGUUGCUAGCAAGUGCCUGUAAGCUGCACUAUUCCUGAAGUCCCAGGCUGCUGUGCAGUGGGAAUCUCCCUUCACACUGACUGCCUGUGGGAAUGGAGGGCUCCCUGUACCAAGGAAGAGGAUGGGAACCUAUGAUGUGAA
RNAcentral lists this long non-coding RNA (1317 nucleotides) under Lepisosteus oculatus (spotted gar). Its description in RNAcentral is "lncRNA (ENSLOCG00000021796.1)". Lineage: Eukaryota; Metazoa; Chordata; Actinopteri; Semionotiformes; Lepisosteidae. The record is from RNAcentral.